UACGGAGGGUGCAAGCGUUAUCCGGAAUCACUGGGUUUAAAGGGUGCGUAGGCGGUUUUGUAAGUCAGUCGUGAAAUCGCUGGGCUUAACCCAUGCAAUUGCGAUUGAUACUGUGAGACUUGAAUGGGGUUUAGGCAGGCGGAAUGUGGCAUGUAGCGGUGAAAUGCAUAGAUAUGCCAUAGAACACCGAUUGCGAAGGCAGCCUGCUGGGCCUUUAUUGACGCUGAGGCACGAAAGCGUGGGGAGCGAACAGG
RNAcentral lists this ribosomal RNA (254 nucleotides) under uncultured bacterium. RNAcentral describes it as "partial 16S ribosomal RNA". It matches the Rfam family "Bacterial small subunit ribosomal RNA", at positions 524 to 776 of the family's 1533-position model. The record is from RNAcentral.